This is a non-coding RNA of Drosophila virilis, 266 nucleotides long. The record is from RefSeq and is a predicted model, not a curated record. Lineage: Eukaryota; Metazoa; Arthropoda; Insecta; Diptera; Drosophilidae.
GUCUGCUCUCUCCCCUAACUCGCUGCGCCGUCUUUUACCGUGCGCGCUAAUCAGUGACCGGGGCUGGUUUUGGUUAUCCCACAGUCAGAUGGCAAACGUUUCAUGUCUCCCAUGUCUAUUGUACUUCAUCAGGUGCUCUGGUGUGACUUGUAACCCGGCACAUGUUGAAGUACACUCAAUAUGCGUUGAUUUGCAUUUGCUGUUUGGGUUAAUAAAGUUCAUCAAAUAUUAUGUAUAAUUAAAAGUUCAAAAUAAAUAUUGUUAAA